UGCGUGAGAUCGAUCAGGAGGAGGAGAAAAUGGGUGUAAACCCUAGUUCACAAGCAAGCUACAAAUUGACAAGGAGAUUAGGCUCAAAUCCGAUGCAUGAACUCGUUUUCUUGACAAUCUAUCCCUAGCAAGCAUGUGGAGUCAUGUCAAGACGGACUCAAGCAUGAAAGGCUAACGGGUCAAGAGGAGGCAAGGAAUCGGAUACGAACCCGGAUGCACAAGGUAGUACGAGUCAUGAGGAUCAUCAAGGAACAGAGAUCGAGGA
Long non-coding RNA from Helianthus annuus (common sunflower), 265 nucleotides. RefSeq lists it as uncharacterized. The record is from RefSeq and is a predicted model, not a curated record. Lineage: Eukaryota; Viridiplantae; Streptophyta; Magnoliopsida; Asterales; Asteraceae. The transcript is spliced from 3 exons.